RNAcentral lists this unclassified non-coding RNA (342 nucleotides) under plant metagenome. RNAcentral's name for it is "partial contains 5.8S ribosomal RNA, internal transcribed spacer 2, and large subunit ribosomal RNA". The stretch from base 1 to 103 matches the Rfam family "5.8S ribosomal RNA", at positions 50 to 154 of the family's 154-position model. The record is from RNAcentral.
GAAGUGCGAUAAGCAAUGCGAAUUGAAGAACCGUGAGUCAUCAGAUUUUUGAACGCAACUGGCGCCGGUUGGCUCUCCAACCGGCAUGCUUGUUUCAGUGUCUCUUUAUCUCAUCACCCAUAUCAUAAUGCGAGAGAUACCCUUCUCUUGCUAAGCUCGAAAGCACUCUGCGCUCUGCGAGCGGCUUCGACUUGUUCGAGGGUCGCACUCAAUGCAGCCGUCACAUUGCUCACAAUGUGAACUCAUUGAGAGCUGAGGCAGUGUAGCGUAAGCUACCAGUGCUUAGUCACACAAACUUUACUUGCAUCUGAAAUCAAGCAGGAUCACCCGCUGAACUUAAGC